AUGGGGUUUGUCCUUACAGUCAAUGGUCACGAGUCGGAGAACGCGCGCGGGCCAUAUGCUCGCGGCUGAGCUCUGGUCGACUGAACUGAAAAAAGCACGAAUCAAUUCAUGUAGUGACCUCAUUCAGUUCGUUCACUCAAAAGAUCUUUUCGUUCGACUGAAUCAUUCGCGAACCACACAACAUUAGAGUCCAUGACUUCAGUACAAACCAAGAUGGCCGUCUGAGUAGUGACGUGCUGAAGUUCACUUUAUAACUCUAAAUGCUGAUUCUUGUUAUCUUCUAUUGCUGUUCGGAAUGCUGUUUCGUGAGAACAUAUACUGAUUGUUCCAGCAAUGUUGAUCUGAAGGAAUCAUGACUGUAAUGGAAAAGCCUGUCCGAGCAACACAGGGUUUUGGGAUUUGCAUCGGAUGGUUUCUAUGUCUGCAGUAUUUUUGAGAUGUCCAGGUUAGGUGGUCUGAAGGGGCUCUGCCCCAAAGAACAGGCCCCCAACACCGACAUUUGCACAGCUGACAACUACACAAAAAUCUACAGAUGGAUACAUCCUCAUGUCGAGACACCGCUUCAGCUUUUUUAUAAAAAAGAACUGACCAAGCAGCAGGCAACUGAGGCUGGAUUUUGACUUAUUCAAGAAUCAGCUGAGGCUCAGAGAUCAGCUGUAUCUCCCAAAUCCUUGUAUUUGACAUUCUAUCCACCAACUAAUAUUUUUUCUUUUUCUCACGCCUGUCUUCCUUUCCGUUGUCUUUGUCGUGUUUUUUGCAUUAUUGAACUAGAAAUGGAGAGCAAGUAAUGGAUCAUACUGGUGACCUAGUCUAAAUGGCUAUUUUUCAGCACUGUUCAGUGCCACUAUCUACCACUCUAUUUUGCUCAGUCACUCCCCUCUCACUUUGUCCUAACUCUACUUUCUCCACUUUCCUUUCCUGCUCAACGCUACUGCUCGGUAACCAGUACUGCCUUUACCCUCCAACACCAUGCUGGGUGCAGGCUUUGGUGUUUGGAAGCUAAUGCGAGGUGUCCGCCAGCUGGAGCUUCACCGCCUCAUUCUGGCCCUCAUCAUUUUUUGCCUACUGUCCAUGGUAUUCCUAGCCUACUACGUCUCCAACAGUCCCAAAAUCAAGGAGGCUCCCCCUUUACCUUUCAGCGACUGUGGUGGAGGUGGGGUGAUGUCACCAGGGGUGAGUACAGGGAUUUUUGGCGGAGGCACAAGUGGCCAGAGGGCACCACUUUUUCUACCCCCUCACCAGGGACGACUACGACGACAAGUGAAGCCUAUUGACAAUUCAAAGACAGAACCUGUGAUUUUGGUGUUUGUAGAGAGUAUCUAUUCUCAGCUAGGCCAAGAGAUUGUAGCCAUAUUAGAAUCAAGUCGCUUCCACUACCGGACUGAGAUUUCCCCUGGCAAAGGUGACAUGCCAACAUUGACAGAGCGCAACCGUGGUCGUUACACAUUGAUUAUCUAUGAAAACGUGCUGAAAUAUGUCAAUCUGGAUGCAUGGAAUCGUGAUUUGCUGGACAAGUACUGUGCAGAAUAUGGAGUAGGUGUCAUUGGCUUCUUCAGAGCUAAUGAAAACUCUCUUCUCAGUGCACAGCUCAAAGGUUUCCCACUUUUUCUACACUCACACCUGGGACUAAGAGACUACCGUAUCAAUCCCAAUGCUCCUCUACUUUACAUCACCAAACCCAACCAGGUGGAGCAAGGUUCUUUACCAGGAGAUGAUUGGACCAUUUUCCAGUCUAACCACUCUACCUAUGAAGCAGUGCUUCUAGCUAGUACCCAGUCUUCUGAGGCACUAGCAAAUUUUGGACCUAUCUCUCUGCGAGCACUUCAUGCCACAGUGGUCCAGGAUUUGGGCCUCCUCGAUGGUAUACAAAGAGUUUUCUUCGGAAAUAAUCUCAGCUAUUGGCUUCAUAAGCUGGUGUUUGUAGAUGCCAUCGCCUAUCUGACAGGGAGGAGAUUGUGUUUGUCCUUGGACCGUCACAUCCUGGUGGACGUGGAUGAUAUAUUUGUUGGCAAGGAGGGAACCCGUAUGAAGGUGUCUGAUGUGGAGGCAUUACUCAACACUCAAAACAAACUGAGAGCACUGGUUCCUAAUUUCACCUUCAACUUGGGAUUUUCAGGAAAGUUCUACCACACAGGUACUGAUGAGGAGGAUCUUGGUGACGACAUGCUGCUGGAACACAGGAUGGAUUUUUGGUGGUUUCCUCACAUGUGGAGCCAUAUGCAGCCUCAUCUGUUUCAUAAUGUCAGCGUUCUAGCUGAGCAAAUGAGGCUCAACAAGAUAUUUGCUCAGGAGCACGGCAUCCCAACAGAUAUGGGCUAUGCAGUGGCUCCUCAUCACUCUGGGGUUUACCCAGUUCAUAGCCAGCUCUACGAGGCCUGGAAAUCUGUAUGGGGAAUUAAGGUGACCAGUACUGAGGAAUACCCUCAUCUGAGGCCAGCACGAUAUCGCCGUGGCUUCAUCCACAAUGGGAUACAGAUAUUGCCCAGGCAGACUUGUGGUCUUUUCACACAUACAAUCUUCUAUAAUGAAUACCCAGGAGGGUCAAAGGAGCUGGACAAGAGCAUCAGAGGAGGAGAACUCUUCCUCACUCUCCUUCUCAAUCCCAUCAGCAUCUUUAUGACUCACCUGUCAAACUAUGGCAACGAUCGUUUGGGUUUGUACACUUUUGAGUCAUUAGUGAAGUUUGUCCAGUGCUGGACCAACCUCAAGCUGCAGACUUUGCCACCCGUCCAGCUUGCUGAGAAAUACUUCCAGAUAUUUCCAGAGGAGAAAGAUCCACUCUGGCAGAACCCUUGUCAUGACAAGAGACACAAAGAUAUCUGGUCUAAAGAAAAGACCUGUGAUAGACUUCCGAAAUUUCUCAUUAUUGGACCACAGAAAACAGGUACAACAGCACUUCAUUCAUUCCUGAGUCUCCACCCAGCAAUCACCAGUUCCUUUCCAAGCCCCACCACCUUUGAGGAGAUUCAGUUCUUCAGUGGAGUAUACUAUGACAAUGGGAUUGAUUGGUACAUGGACUUCUUCCCAUUCCCUUCCAAUGUCAGCACAGACUUUAUGUUUGAAAAGAGUGCCAACUACUUUGACACAGUGGUAGCUCCCAAAAGAGCAUCUGCCCUGCUACCCAGAGCCAAAAUUCUGGCAGUUCUCACCAACCCCAUAGACAGGGCUUACUCUUGGUACCAGCACCAGAGGGCCCAUCAAGACCCUGUAGCACUCAACAACACUUUCCAUGCUGUGGUGACAGCAGGCCCAUCUGCCCUGAGGGAUCUACUUGCACUUCAGAGACGCUGCCUUAAUCCUGGGACCUAUGCUAUCCAUCUGGAACGCUGGCUGCAAUACUAUCAACCCAGCCAGCUGCACAUUGUGGAUGGGACCCUGCUGAGAUCCAACCCAGCACUAGUGAUGGAAGGAAUCCAGAGGUUCCUCGGCGUCACUCCAAUCUUCAAUUACACCCUGGCUCUAAUGUAUGAUGACAGCAAAGGUUUCUGGUGUCAACGAGUGGAAGGGAGCCGAGCCAAAUGUCUGGGGAAGAGCAAAGGCAGGAAGUACCCAGAGAUGAGUCCUGAGUGUGACAAAUAUGGAAAAGAAAAAAAAAAUCAGGAAGGAGGCCAACACUUUUUCACAUCCCUGUGUCUGUGAGAUACUCUGGAACAAGCCAGGCACUGUCCUGUUGCCAGACCCCCCAGGACAUCCUUGGAAGGCCUAUGUCCAUUCUUUGAUGAGUCAGAACAGUUUUGGAGGCACAAGGGAGACCUACAGACAAUAUUAGUAAGUCGCGUGCCUUUUUAACAGAGUAUUACCAUGAGCAUAACACGGAGCUAUUGCGUUUGCUGAAUCGGUUGGGCCAACCUCUUCCUUCCUGGCUACGCCAAGAGCUCCAGGGCACCAGCUGGAGCUGAGACAACGAGCUCACACACACACAACACAACACAGAAAAGUUGGGACUGCAUUUUGUGGUUGAUUCAACAUUUGGCUCUGGAUUAGACUUGGACUACCUGAUCUGGAAUCAUCAUCAGCACACACUGAGAGAGCUACGAGGUCUUAGCUGAGAGUGUUGUUGCUUCUGCUGCAUGGAAAACUGAAUAACUGCACAACAUGAAAUCUAAAAGUGUUGAUUGCUGUUUGAGCAAGAUCAUAGUGGACUCACUUCUCUUGAUCUGUUGCCAACCUACCGCAAGCACUGGGCAGCCUUUAGACACAAUCGGUGUUUGAAAAGGCUGACACUGAUCAGCUGUAGAUCCAGAGGACUAAGCAGAUAAGUGUGUUUGGGAUAUGUGGAUGUAGAAUGUAUGACUGGUAUCACAUGCACAGACACACAUCUCAUCUCCACGGGAAUGACUGUAAAGGAGUCCAUGUUAAAAGCAGUUGUAAAUUCUAGUUAGGAGGUAAGUGCAAAACAAAACGACCAACUUUCUCACCCAGACAGUACAGACACACAACUCCUAUCCUGGUCCAGUCAGCUGUUGGGGUGACAUUCCAAAUAGACACAACUUAAUGAUGACAACUCAAUUUCAGUAUGAUGUGAUUUGGUACAUCACUGUUAGUGAUAAGUUUUAUUAUACCCUGUUUGCUAGAUAAAGCUUUUAUUUAAAUGAU
RNA transcript from Mugil cephalus (flathead mullet), 4596 nucleotides. It is a transcript of the gene named N-deacetylase/N-sulfotransferase (heparan glucosaminyl) 2a, with no coding region annotated. The record is from RefSeq and is a predicted model, not a curated record. The transcript is spliced from 17 exons. NCBI's taxonomy places the organism in Eukaryota, Metazoa, Chordata, Actinopteri, Mugiliformes, Mugilidae.